Molecule: ribosomal RNA, 565 nt
Filed under: uncultured Bacilli bacterium
Lineage: Bacteria; Bacillati; Bacillota; Bacilli
Description: bacterial SSU rRNA
Rfam family: Bacterial small subunit ribosomal RNA
Source: RNAcentral
ACUCCUACGGGAGGCAGCAGUAGGGAAUUUUCCGCAAUGGGCGAAAGCCUGACGGAGCAACGCCGCGUGAGUGAAGACGGCCUUCGGGUUGUAAAGCUCUGUUCUUUGGGAAGAAAACAAUGACGGUACCAAAGGAGAAAGCCCCGGCUAACUACGUGCCAGCAGCCGCGGUAAUACGUAGGGGGCAAGCGUUGUCCGGAAUUAUUGGGCGUAAAGCGCGCGUAGGCGGUUAGAUAAGUUGGAUGUGAAAGGCUACGGCUCAACCGUAGAGCGGCAUCCAAAACUGUUUAACUUGAGUGCAGCAGAGGAGAGUGGAAUUCCCGGUGUAGCGGUGGAAUGCGUAGAGAUCGGGAGGAACACCAGUGGCGAAGGCGACUCUCUGGGCUGUAACUGACGCUGAGGUGCGAAAGCGUGGGGAGCGAACAGGAUUAGAUACCCUGGUAGUCCACGCCGUAAACGAUGAGUGCUAGGUGUUGGAGGGUCCACCCUUCAGUGCCGAAGGAAACCCAGUAAGCACUCCGCCUGGGGAGUACGGCCGCAAGGCUGAAACUCAAAGGAAUUGACG